Molecule: ribosomal RNA, 433 nt
Filed under: uncultured bacterium
Lineage: Bacteria
Description: partial 16S ribosomal RNA
Rfam family: Bacterial small subunit ribosomal RNA
Source: RNAcentral
AGCGAACGCUGGCGGCAGGCCUAACACAUGCAAGUCGAACGGAGCCUUCGGGAUUAUUGGCGGACGGGUGAUUAACACGUGGGAACGUGCCCUUUGGUUCGGAACAACUCACGUAAACUUGAGCUAAUACCGGAUGUGCCCUUCGGUGGAAAGAUUUAUCGCCAUUGGAGCGGCCCGCGUCUGAUUAGCUAGUUGGUGAGGUAAAGGCCCACCAAGGCGACGAUCAGUAGCUGGUCUGAGAGGAUGAUCAGCCACACUGGGACUGAGACACGGCCCAGACUCCUACGGGAGGCAGCAGUGGGGAAUCUUGCGCAAUGGGCGAAAGACUGACGCAGCCAUGCCGCGUGAAUGAUGAAGGUCUUAGGAUUGUAAAAUUCUUUCAGCGGGGACGAUAAUGACGGUACCCGCAGAAGAAGCUCCGGCUAACUUCGUG